GCCCUCUUAGCUCAGUUGGUAGAGCACCUCCAUGGUAAGGAGGGGGUCGACGGUUCGAGUCCGUCAGAGGGCUUCA
This 76-nucleotide transfer RNA is filed under the name Actinomycetes bacterium. Its description in RNAcentral is "Actinobacteria bacterium tRNA-Thr". It matches the Rfam family "tRNA". Rfam says of the family: Transfer RNA (tRNA) molecules are approximately 80 nucleotides in length. Their secondary structure includes four short double-helical elements and three loops (D, anti-codon, and T loops). The record is from RNAcentral. Lineage: Bacteria; Bacillati; Actinomycetota; Actinomycetes.